RNAcentral lists this ribosomal RNA (510 nucleotides) under uncultured bacterium. Its description in RNAcentral is "partial 16S ribosomal RNA". It matches the Rfam family "Bacterial small subunit ribosomal RNA", at positions 28 to 507 of the family's 1533-position model. The record is from RNAcentral.
GACGAACGCUGGCGGCGUGCUUAACACAUGCAAGUCGAACGAAGAGCGAUGGAAGCUUGCUUCUAUCAAUCUUAGUGGCGAACGGGUGAGUAACGCGUAAUCAACCUGCCCUUCAGAGGGGGACAACAGUUGGAAACGACUGCUAAUACCGCAUACGAUCUAAUCUCGGCAUCGAGGAUAGAUGAAAGGUGGCCUCUACAUGUAAGCUAUCACUGAAGGAGGGGAUUGCGUCUGAUUAGCUAGUUGGAGGGGUAACGGCCCACCAAGGCGAUGAUCAGUAGCCGGUCUGAGAGGAUGAACGGCCACAGUGGGACUGAGACACGGCCCAGACUCCUACGGGAGGCAGCAGUGGGGAAUCUUCCGCAAUGGACGAAAGUCUGACGGAGCAACGCCGCGUGAGGGAUGACGGCCUUCGGGUUGUAAAGCUCGGUUAAUCGGGACGAAAGGCCUUCUUGCGAAUAGUGAGAAGGAUUGACGGUACCGGAAGAGAAAGCCACGGCUAACUACGUG